RNAcentral lists this ribosomal RNA (490 nucleotides) under uncultured bacterium. RNAcentral describes it as "partial 16S ribosomal RNA". It matches the Rfam family "Bacterial small subunit ribosomal RNA", at positions 355 to 835 of the family's 1533-position model. The record is from RNAcentral.
UGGGGAAUUUUGGACAAUGGGGGCAACCCUGAUCCAGCCAUCCCGCGUGUGCGAUGAAGGCCUUCGGGUUGUAAAGCACUUUUUGGCAGGGAAGAAACAGCCUGGGAUAAUACCCCGGGCGACUGACGGUACCUGCAGAAUAAGCACCGGCUAACUACGUGCCAGCAGCCGCGGUAAUACGUAGGGUGCAAGCGUUAAUCGGAAUUACUGGGCGUAAAGCGUGCGCAGGCGGUUCGGAAAGAAAGGUGUGAAAUCCCAGGGCUUAACCUUGGAACUGCACUUUUAACUACCGAGCUAGAGUACGUCAGAGGGGGGUAGAAUUCCACGUGUAGCAGUGAAAUGCGUAGAGAUGUGGAGGAAUACCGAUGGCGAAGGCAGCCCCCUGGGAUGAUACUGACGCUCAUGCACGAAAGCGUGGGGAGCAAACAGGAUUAGAUACCCUGGUAGUCCACGCCCUAAAACGAUGUCAACUAGCUGUUGGGGUUUUAUU